Pomacea canaliculata is the source of this 1008-nucleotide long non-coding RNA. RefSeq lists it as uncharacterized. Lineage: Eukaryota; Metazoa; Mollusca; Gastropoda; Architaenioglossa; Ampullariidae. The record is from RefSeq and is a predicted model, not a curated record. The transcript is spliced from 2 exons.
AGUUGAUCGCAAAAAGCCUCGAGUUUGCCUUCAAACUCAAAAUCGAAACAUCUGGCACGUGGCAUUCAUGCAUUCGAUUGGUCAGACAUACCACGUGUCCUACCAUUACAACCAAUCACACACUACAGUUAGUGUAUGACGUAGGUCCCAUCAGCCUCUGUGUGUUACGUAAUUCAAUUGCCUAAUAACCUGAGUCACUCAUUUCUAGUUCACGUUGCGUAACAUUGUCCUUUCUCUUACGUAAUCAAAGUACGUAAGUUUCGCUCUAAGGUUUGUCUGUUACGACGAUAACACCUCGUGGCUACACCUCACCCUGCCUUACGUCACCGUCAUGACGUGAACGGCCACGUGACUAUCUGACUCUUCCAGGCUCGCAUUCUGUCUGCGUCGUGCUAGUUUGAGUACAAUCUUUUUUAUAUUUCAUUCACAAUGAGUUUCUCUGUGAUACUGCGGGAUUUAGAUGAAGAAAAGGAGAGGGCAAUUCGUCAGCUGUUUGAAAGAAUGGCUGGUCCUAUAAUGCUGAACGACUCCCACACCAAACUUCGAGAAAACGAGGAAGAUACCCAGUGAAUAAGGAUACGCGGGAUGGCGAUGUACUGGCCAUUGAGGGUGGAGAAACUUUGCCCCCCGGACCAGGUGCGGCACCUGAAUGUCCACACUGCUUCCAAGCACCUUGUAUAACAUCAGGAGCUCGCGACGUAGAGUUCAUCGGGAAGGGACAGGCGGCUUGUCCUCAAAAUCGAGGUAUUCGGAAUAGGAUCUACACAAGGUAUUGGAAAAUGCUAGACUUUGUUGGACUCUGGAAGGACAAGAGAUACCUAGUUAGAAAAACCGCUUUGGCAGAAGGUGAAUGGGUGCUGUGCCACAGGCGUGAAGUGAUGCCCACUUGCGUCGUUCAAAAAGUACGGACACUGUACCCAAACCCAGAUGGAGUGCCGUAUGUCGGUCACCAAUGGGAAUAAAAAAAAAACUAAACGAGAGGAAUAAAAACUAAGUUUAAAAAUUCCA